Molecule: long non-coding RNA, 278 nt
Filed under: Gossypium raimondii (Peruvian cotton)
Lineage: Eukaryota; Viridiplantae; Streptophyta; Magnoliopsida; Malvales; Malvaceae
Description: long non-coding RNA (GRAI_LNC003915)
Source: RNAcentral
UGUGAUAGAGAUUUUGUGGAAGUGAAACUUUGAGUUAGUUGGGUUGUUAGUAGGUUAUUGGGGAGUUGAGAGUUAGUAGAAGUGUAGUCAAAUUAAAUAAUUUUUAUUUUUAUUUUUAAUUUAUCUUUUUUUUCCUUUUCUCGAAAUUCCCCUUAUUCUGACGUUUUUCUUUCUUCCCUUUCUAUGCUCUGUCGAUUUUCUCUCUUUUCCCUUUGACUCUACCAAAAUUCUUUAAUCACAUUACUCUACUUCAUAACCGUGGUUCCUUUGUUCGGUUC